AGUGAACGCUGGCGGUAGGCCUAACACAUGCAAGUCGAACGGCAGCACAGUAAGAGCUUGCUCUUACGGGUGGCGAGUGGCGGACGGGUGAGGAAUACAUCGGAAUCUACUUUUUCGUGGGGGAUAACGUAGGGAAACUUACGCUAUUACCGCAUACGACCUACGGGUGAAAGCAGGGGAUCUUCGGACCUUGCGCGAUUGAAUGAGCCGAUGUCGGAUUAGCUAGUUGGCGGGGUAAAGGCCCACCAAGGCGACGAUCCGUAGCUGGUCUGAGAGGAUGAUCAGCCACACUGGAACUGAGACACGGUCCAGACUCCUACGGGAGGCAGCAGUGGGGAAUAUUGGACAAAGGGCGCAAGCCUGAUCCAGCCAUACCGCGUGGGUGAAGAAGGCCUUCGGGUUGUAAAGCCCUUUUGUUGGGAAAGAAAAGCAGCAGGUUAAUACCCCGCUGUUCUGACGGUACCCAAAGAAUAAGCACCGGCUAACUUCGUG
RNAcentral lists this ribosomal RNA (492 nucleotides) under uncultured bacterium. RNAcentral's name for it is "partial 16S ribosomal RNA". It matches the Rfam family "Bacterial small subunit ribosomal RNA", at positions 29 to 507 of the family's 1533-position model. The record is from RNAcentral.